GUGGGGAAUAUUGCACAAUGGGGGAAACCCUGAUGCAGCAACGCCGCGUGGAGGAUGACACAUUUCGGUGUGUAAACUCCUUUUAUAAGGGAAGAUAAUGACGGUACCUUAUGAAUAAGCACCGGCUAACUCCGUGCCAGCAGCCGCGGUAAUACGGAGGGUGCAAGCGUUACUCGGAAUCACUGGGCGUAAAGGAUGCGUAGGCUGUAAUAUAAGUCAGAAGUGAAAUCCAACGGCUUAACCGUUGAACUGCUUUUGAAACUGUUUUACUAGAAUAUGGGAGAGGUAGAUGGAAGUGGUGGUGUAGGGGUAAAAUCCGUAGAUAUCACCAGGAAUACCGAUUGCGAAGGCGAUCUACUGGAACAUUAUUGACGCUGAGGCAUGAAAGCGUGGGGAGCAAACAGGAUUAGAAACCCGGGUAGUCC
RNAcentral lists this ribosomal RNA (425 nucleotides) under uncultured bacterium. RNAcentral describes it as "partial 16S ribosomal RNA". It matches the Rfam family "Bacterial small subunit ribosomal RNA", at positions 354 to 796 of the family's 1533-position model. The record is from RNAcentral.